CGUCACACUAUCAUUAACUGAAUCCAUAGGUUAAUGAGGCGAACCGGGGGAACUGAAACAUCUAAGUACCCCGAGGAAAAGAAAUCAACCGAGAUUCCCCCAGUAGCGGCGAGCGAACGGGGAGGAGCCCAGAGCCUGAAUCAGCAUGUGUGUUAGUGGAAGCGUCUGGAAAGGUGCGCGAUACAGGGUGACAGCCCCGUACACAAAAGCGCAUGUGCUGUGAGCUCGAUGAGUAGGGCGGGACACGUGGUAUCCUGUCUGAAUAUGGGGGGACCAUCCUCCAAGGCUAAAUACUCCUGACUGACCGAUAGUGAACCAGUACCGUGAGGGAAAGGCGAAAAGAACCCCGGCGAGGGGAGUGAAAAAGAACCUGAAACCGUGUACGUACAAGCAGUGGGAGCACNGUGUGACUGCGUACCUUUUGUAUAAUGGGUCAGCGACUUAUAUUCUGUAGCAAGGUUAACCGUAUAGGGGAGCCGGAGGGAAACCGAGUCUUAACCGGGCGUUAAGUUGCAGGGUAUAGACCCGAAACCCGGUGAUCUAGCCAUGGGCAGGUUGAAGGUUGGGUAACACUAACUGGAGGACCGAACCGACUAAUGUUGAAAAAUUAGCGGAUGACCUGUGGCUGGGGGUGAAAGGCCAAUCAAACCGGGAGAUAGCUGGUUCUCCCCGAAAGCUAUUUAGGUAGCGCCUCGUGAAUUCAUCUCCGGGGGUAGAGCACUGUUUCGGCUAGGGGGCCAUCCCGGCUUACCAACCCGAUGCAAACUGCGAAUACCGGAGAAUGUUAUCACGGGAGACACACGGCGGGUGCUAACGUCCGUCGUGAAGAGGGAAACAACCCAGACCGCCAGCUAAGGUCCCAAAGUCAUGGUUAAGUGGGAAACGAUGUGGGAAGGCCCAGACAGCCAGGAUGUUGGCUUAGAAGCAGCCAUCAUUUAAAGAAAGCGUAAUAGCUCACUGGUCGAGUCGGCCUGCGCGGAAGAUGUAACGGGGCUAAACCAUGCACCGAAGCUGCGGCAGCGAACGUAUCACCCAAGACAACUUUACGGAGUUGACGAUUGACGGAGCGAAGCGACGUCAAAGCGUUCAUUAAAGUCGAGUUGGCUUAGGGAUACGUUCGUUGGGUAGGGGAGCGUUCUGUAAGCCUGUGAAGGUGUGUCGUGAGGCAUGCUGGAGGUAUCAGAAGUGCGAAUGCUGACAUAAGUAACGAUAAAGCGGGUGAAAAGCCCGCUCGCCGGAAGACCAAGGGUUCCUGUCCAACGUUAAUCGGGGCAGGGUGAGUCGACCCCUAAGGCGAGGCCGAAAGGCGUAGUCGAUGGGAAACGGGUUAAUAUUCCCGUACUUGGUGUUACUGCGAAGGGGGGACGGAGAAGGCUAUGUUGGCCGGGCGACGGUUGUCCCGGUUUAAGCGUGUAGGUGUGUGUUCCAGGUAAAUCCGGUUCACUUUAACACUGAGGCGUGACGACGAGGCACUACGGUGCUGAAGCAACAAAUGCCCUGCUUCCAGGAAAAGCCUCUAAGCAUCAGGUAACACGAAAUCGUACCCCAAACCGACACAGGUGGUCAGGUAGAGAAUACCAAGGCGCUUGAGAGAACUCGGGUGAAGGAACUAGGCAAAAUGGUGCCGUAACUUCGGGAGAAGGCACGCUGACACGUAGGUGAAGUGAUUUACUCAUGGAGCUGAAGUCAGUCGAAGAUACCAGCUGGCUGCAACUGUUUAUUAAAAACACAGCACUGUGCAAACACGAAAGUGGACGUAUACGGUGUGACGCCUGCCCGGUGCCGGAAGGUUAAUUGAUGGGGUCAGCGCAAGCGAAGCUCCUGAUCGAAGCCCCGGUAAACGGCGGCCGUAACUAUAACGGUCCUAAGGUAGCGAAAUUCCUUGUCGGGUAAGUUCCGACCUGCACGAAUGGCGUAAUGAUGGCCAGGCUGUCUCCACCCGAGACUCAGUGAAAUUGAACUCGCUGUGAAGAUGCAGUGUACCCGCGGCAAGACGGAAAGACCCCGUGAACCUUUACUAUAGCUUGACACUGAACAUUGAGCCUUGAUGUGUAGGAUAGGUGGGAGGCUUUGAAGUGUGGACGCCAGUCUGCAUGGAGCCGACCUUGAAAUACCACCCUUUAAUGUUUGAUGUUCUAACGUGGACCCGUAAUCCGGGUUGCGGACAGUGUCUGGUGGGUAGUUUGACUGGGGCGGUCUCCUCCUAAAGAGUAACGGAGGAGCACGAAGGUUGGCUAAUCCUGGUCGGACAUCAGGAGGUUAGUGCAAUGGCAUAAGCCAGCUUGACUGCGAGCGUGACGGCGCGAGCAGGUGCGAAAGCAGGUCAUAGUGAUCCGGUGGUUCUGAAUGGAAGGGCCAUCGCUCAACGGAUAAAAGGUACUCCGGGGAUAACAGGCUGAUACCGCCCAAGAGUUCAUAUCGACGGCGGUGUUUGGCACCUCGAUGUCGGCUCAUCACAUCCUGGGGCUGAAGUAGGUCCCAAGGGUAUGGCUGUUCGCCAUUUAAAGUGGUACGCGAGCUGGGUUUAGAACGUCGUGAGACAGUUCGGUCCCUAUCUGCCGUGGGCGCUGGAGAACUGAGGGGGGCUGCUCCUAGUACGAGAGGACCGGAGUGGACGCAUCACUGGUGUUCGGGUUGUCAUGCCAAUGGCACUGCCCGGUAGCUAAAUGCGGAAGAGAUAAGUGCUGAAAGCAUCUAAGCACGAAACUUGCCCCGAGAUGAGUUCUCCCUGAGACUUAGAGUCUCCUGAAGGAACGUUGAAGACGACGACGUUGAUAGGCCGGGUGUGUAAGCGCAGCGAUGCGUUGAGCUAACCGGUACUAAUGAACCGUGAGGCUUAACCUU
Molecule: ribosomal RNA, 2844 nt
Filed under: Salmonella enterica subsp. enterica serovar Typhimurium str. DT104
Lineage: Bacteria; Pseudomonadati; Pseudomonadota; Gammaproteobacteria; Enterobacterales; Enterobacteriaceae
Description: bacterial LSU rRNA
Rfam family: Bacterial large subunit ribosomal RNA
Source: RNAcentral